GGGCAUUUGGUCUAACUGGUUAAGACGCCCAUAGCCAUAUUGAAUUAUAUUUUUCAAUAUGAUUGUGGGAAAUAAAAGUUCGAAUCUUUUAAUGCCUA
RNAcentral lists this transfer RNA (98 nucleotides) under Flavobacterium sp. SaA2.13. Its description in RNAcentral is "tRNA-His". It matches the Rfam family "tRNA". Rfam says of the family: Transfer RNA (tRNA) molecules are approximately 80 nucleotides in length. Their secondary structure includes four short double-helical elements and three loops (D, anti-codon, and T loops). The record is from RNAcentral. Lineage: Bacteria; Pseudomonadati; Bacteroidota; Flavobacteriia; Flavobacteriales; Flavobacteriaceae.